This 801-nucleotide unclassified non-coding RNA is filed under the name Hevea brasiliensis (rubber tree). Lineage: Eukaryota; Viridiplantae; Streptophyta; Magnoliopsida; Malpighiales; Euphorbiaceae. The record is from RNAcentral.
UGGUACUUCAGAAGGUUCAACUUUGGCAUUUGCAGGAGGUUUAGACGUUUCAAGACAACUGGUUGAAAUGGUGGUGCCAUCAAUACCGUAAUAUUUAGAUUUAUAAUCAAAAGUUUCAUUGGCUUCAGGUCUUUUCUCGGUAGCAGGUUCAGUUUCAGGCUUGAGUAAACUUUUCUCGCCCUCUAAAGGAGUUGGGGAAGGAGAAACCUGCAGGGAUUCAUGUAAGGCUGAUUUCAACUCCAUACUUUUAUCACGAGGAGCAGGGGCUUCUUCAGUCUGACGUUGUUUUGGACUGGAACUCAAGUUCACAUCAUUACCAUUAGGGCCUGACUGUACCUGAGGGUUUCGAGGGCUGGUCUUCAACCCCACACUUUUAUCACUCGGGGCUGCUUCAGUAUGAUGUUGUUUUGGACUGAACCUGAAGUUCACAUUAUUAACAUCAGGGGCUGCCUCAGCCUGUGGGUUUUGAGAACUGGCCUUCAACUCCACAUUGUCAUCAUUGGAAACUGCUUCAAUCUGAUGUUGUUGAGAACCAGUUUUCAACUCUACAUGGUUAUCAAUAAGGACAGCCUCAGUCAGAGGUUCAGUAUUGGUCUUCAACUCUGGGCUUUUAUCAUGGUCAAGUUGUUCAACUGGAACUGGCUGUGCUUCAAUUGGCAAGUCACCAGCUGGAGGAUGUGGCAGUGACUGAGCUGAUUCAUCCUCAUUCUCUAUGAUAUUGUCCAUCUCUAAUUCCUAGAUUAUGUGUGUUCUCAUUCCUUGAGUUGAAACCCUGCAAUGAAAAGGACAGGGACGAUUUCG